UUUUUCGAGAAAAAUGCCCAAAUUCAAGGCGACCCGUGGGGUCGGGGGUCAGGAAAAACAUGCGCCUCUGGCCGAUCAGAUCCUGGCUGGGAAUGCCGUGCGGGCGGGGGUCCGGGAGAAGCGGCGGGGUCGCGGGACCGGAGAAGCGGAGGAAGAGUAUGUGGGGCCCCGGCUGAGCCGACGGAUUUUGCAGCAAGCACGGCAGCAACAGGAGGAGCUCGAGGCCGAGCAUGGGACUGGGGACAAGCCCGCGGCGCCGCGGGAACGCACCACGCGGCUGGGUCCAAGAAUGCCUCAAGAUGGAUCAGAUGAUGAGGACGAGGAGUGGCCCACCCUGGAGAAGGCUGCCACAAUGACAGCGGUGGGCCACCAUGCAGAGGUGGUUGUGGACCCUGAGGAUGAGCGUGCCAUAGAGAUGUUCAUGAACAAGAACCCUCCUGCCAGGCGCACCCUGGCUGACAUCAUCAUGGAGAAGCUGACUGAGAAGCAGACAGAGGUUGAGACAGUCAUGUCAGAGGUGUCGGGCUUCCCUAUGCCCCAGCUGGACCCCCGGGUCCUAGAAGUGUACAGGGGGGUCCAGGAGGUAAGAGCUGAGAGGGGAGCCAUGGUGGAAGACCCCUUUGGGGGCUGUGGGCUCCUGCCACAGGCUUUUUUGCCUUUUGCCUGCAUC
Molecule: small RNA, 670 nt
Filed under: Pongo abelii (Sumatran orangutan)
Lineage: Eukaryota; Metazoa; Chordata; Mammalia; Primates; Hominidae
Description: retained intron
Source: RNAcentral